This 1170-nucleotide long non-coding RNA is filed under the name Oryza brachyantha (malo sina). RNAcentral describes it as "long non-coding RNA (OBRA_LNC000615)". Lineage: Eukaryota; Viridiplantae; Streptophyta; Magnoliopsida; Poales; Poaceae. The record is from RNAcentral.
CGCCGGGGGGGCCGCCGGUGCAGCACUGAAUCUGUGAAUUGCUCCAGGCAAUAAUCCCCUUGCUGAGCCUGUACGGGACACAGAGUGCACGUUCAGUGCAAUGUGUGCAUCACAGAUCACACGUUACUUCUUAGCUGAUAUCAUCGUGCUCCAAUGCUCCAUCAUAUGUACCAGCGAACAAAUACUCCCUAUGUAUUUUGAUACAUGAUAUCGUUAAUCUUUUAGCAAUUUUUUUAUCAUUCGUUUUUUUAAAAUUAUUUAUUUUAUUAUAAUUAUAUUUAUUUCUAAGAUAUAUUAAGCAUGACUUAUAUUUUUUGUGUAUAUUUAUAUUUUUUAAUAGUAUAAAUGGGCAAACCUGUGUUAAUAAGUCAAUAAUAUCAUCAUUUAAAAUACUGAAGAAGUAGACAACUGGGCGGGCGUGAUCUUUUCUCCCAGGAGAGCAUCGAACUCGCGACAGUAUGACACUGAAGUUGGGCAUGAUGUGCCAGCACGAAGCAAAGAAGAAAAAGACAACUAAUUUUGGUUCUUCCGAGUUUUGAUAAGGAUCCGAUUGAGAGUGGCAUCAUAUCAGUCAGGAGAGAAACAAAACCUCAUACCCCCUGCCACAUGGGGACGAAAGCUCCAGCUAACAUACGUUAGUGCCAUGACUAACUCAUGACGUUACUACUUACAAGAAACCGCACAAACUUUUAACAGAAAAGGAUAAAGUUCUGGGAUGAAAUAUCUGAAGGCGAUGUCAAAAUAAUAUAUAUUUGAAGACAUAAAGUAGUUCUCACUCCAUCAGAGACGGAGAGAGAAACUCUCAGUCUCUCGUUAUGGCGAUCAUUACUUAGCAACUUCAUCAGAAAAAGAAGAAAAAUCUCCCUGAUCUAACAACAGAGAUGGCUUACAGUAAAAAUCUUAAACACUCGUAUCAUAAUUCAAGCGACAGAAAAUGCAAAAUAUUUCUGACCAACUCGAGGGCACAAGAAAAGAUCCAAGCAGAGAUCAUCACCUGCUCCCAGAGGAGCGGAGUCGCUAGCGGAGGAGACGGCAGGAGGCCUCGCGAUCAGGCGGCGAGAGAGAAGGGAGGAAGCAGCCCUCCUUGCAGACAUGUCUCGUUGCAGCCUAGUGCAGCAAACCUUGUGGAGUGGCCAGCAAUGGAGGGGUUAGCUAUAUAUAGUUUCUUCC